AGAAGACGGUGAUGUCGUAUGGUCCACGAAAACUGCAAACAGAGGCGUCCGGUGGCUCUGUAUUUCCAAUCGCGCAACCAUAAUGCUCCUGGAUGAAAGCGGAAGCAAUGUCAUCUGGCAAAGCAGCGACGAACCUUCUGACACUGUGCUGUUGCAACGAGCACUUACGCCGGGACAAAAGCUCGUAAGUUGGAAUACUUCAGAAGACAGCAGCGAUGGCCUCUAUAGUCUCGUCAUGGAGAAAAACAGGCUGCAACUGUUGUACGCCUCGCAACCGUACUGGAGCUUCGGUAAUAUUGGCAGCGAGGAAAACAUGUUUGCGGUGUUUUGCUGGCAAAACGAUGGUAACGUGUCUCUGGAUCUGCGCACCGACUUCUCACAGAUUGAAACGAUGCCUGAUGAAUUGGGGUUAGUGCCUUCCCGGUCAUGUUCUAGUCGAGGUUUAAGAGACCAAGUGAUGCCGUUGAACGUAAACGGGUCACAGUUCACGUCCUCCACUUUCAUAAGGCUCACACCAGAUGGAGAUGUGGACCUGUACUCCUGGAAUUGGACGGGUAGCUACUGGGCAACUUAUCUCAGCUUUUCCAGUCUCUUCAACUGCUUCCUUCCAAGUGCAUGCGGGAAGUAUAGAACCUGUAAUCCAGUGUCAGGUGCAUGCGAGGAAACUUGUCCCGAGAGCUUUACCAGGACAGGUCGAGAUUGCCAGCCAUUGAGUAAACUUCAGACGUGUGCAGAGGACCUCGAGUAUCGAUUCGUUCGAAAGGAGGGAGCUGGUUACUUCUCCACAAAUUAUACUGAUCCACUCAAUGUUGCAUCGGAAGCAGACUGUCAAGGGCGCUGUGAGUCGAACUGCAACUGCACGGCUGCCUUUUAUAGUGACCGGAGCUGCUUUCUCGCUCAUGGAGACGUACAAUCGCUUCGAACUGGAAAAUACGUUGCGUUAUUGAAAGUUGCACAGCCACGAAAAGCAUCCAGGAAGCACGUCCAGGCCAUCACCUUGGGAGUACUUAUUCCGACACUCGUCCUUCUGAUUAUAAGUCUCGGAUGGCGCUGCCGAAGGAGCAAGAACGAUGAUGACGAGGGAGAAGAAGAAAGCACCUUGCAGCUCUCUCUCAUGGCUGGCAUGCCAAGGCGUUUUAGUUACCAAGAGCUGCAACAAGUCACAGGAAACUUCAGUGAAAUGCUUGGAAAUGGAGGAUUUGGAAGCGUGUUCAAAGGAAACCUUGCCGAUGGAAUUGAGGUCGCUGUGAAGAAACUUGAAGGCUCCAACCAGAGGAGCAAAGAUUUUUUCGCCGAAGUUGGAAUCCUAGCCAGGACGCACCACUGGAACCUCGUCAAGCUGCUGGGAUUCUGUGCCCAGGGUCCAAGGAAAAGGCUCCUGGUGUACGAAUAUAUGAGGAACGGGUCCCUCGACCGAUGGAUAUUUGAAGACGAUGAAUAUCCUGGCAAUGUGCCGUGGGGAGUUAGAUACAACAUUGCCUUGGGCACAGCAAGAGGAUUGAGCUACUUACAUGACGAAUGCGCUGAAAAGAUAAUCCACUUGGACUUGAAGCCGGAGAAUGUGCUCCUCGACGAUGGUUUCCAGCCGAAAAUAGCAGAUUUCGGACUGUCCAGGCUCAUGGACAGGAAGGAAAGCCACUUGCAGCUGACGAUAACGAGAGGCACUCCUGGCUACGUCGCACCGGAGUGUGUUCAGGAAGGAACAGUGACUGAAAAAUCGGAUGUUUUCGGCUUCGGGGUAUUGCUGCUCGAGAUCAUAACAGGUUGCAGGAGCAGGAAUCUCUCGGAUGAUUUCCUGAAGGACUACCUGUUGGUCAGUGAAAGGGACGAGAAGGCUGUUGCUCACCUCCACCAAGACGACAAGGAAAGAGAGAGAUUGAAGACCGUGGUAAGUUUGUGUGUCCGAGACGAUCCAGACUUACGGCCCUCGAUGAUGAACGUGGUACCAAUGAUGCAAGGAGUUAUUAAGCUUCCUCAGAUCCCCUCGGAGUCGCAGCUCCAGUUCUUCCUCGCUUACAGAUCCAAACUUCAGCUUAGCAGAAGCACAACCUCGGACGUACCUCAGUACAGUUCUAAUAAGUUGCUGGGUUCGUCAACGUCGUUUGGAUUUCUCUCACAAGAGAGCCUGGGUUGUCGAUAAUUGGAUAGUGCUCAGUACCUAUACAAUGAUAUGUAAGUAAUUCAUACCUUGUGCCCAGUAUAUCCGUUACAGUCCACAAGAGUUGUAUAGCAAUCCUAACUUGAAGAAGGAGCUUGCUUCUUCCCGAUCUGGAAAUUUGCAAAGAAAGUAAGAAAACAAACCUGCAACGACUUGCUCAAGAGCUCGUGCUUCGAAAUCGAGCGAGCCAAAGUAAUCAAGCAAAUGGCUAGCCUGCUUUUGACUCAAGUGACACUCUUCUACUGGAACUCAAGUAUACCUUUGAUCGAACUUCUCCAGUUCAGACACAUCCCAUUGGCUUUCACCACGAACAAAAUUUCCCGCCGUUUCUAAAGCGAUUCCUCUCUCACCACAGCUUUCGCUAAACUGGAAAGAAAAGAAAAAAAAGAGAGGGGGAGUCGAAGGAAAACAAAAUCUGUGAGAAGAUUUCUCGUACCUGAUUCCUACGGAUUUCCUUCAACCUGUUAAAGCAUAUCCACAUAAACUCAAGUCAGUCACAAAGCUCGGCUAUAACCAAGUCUAAACGUAUCUGCAAAGACUUGUUCAAAGCGCGUUGGAACAUCCAAGUAUUUGAGCGCCGGAGCCGCAAGAGAGGUCGAGAACUCCAUGGCUACCAAAGGAGAGCUGUGCUUCAUCUUCUCGUCGAUCUUCAUCCUGGGAUUUUCUCGAGCGGAACUGUACUACAGGAAUUUCACCAGUGAAGUAAAUGGUCCCCUGUAUCCGCUUGAUCCAUCCGGCUUGAGUGGCCGCUACACUGAUUUAUGGUCCAACUACACCGACACGGACAUGAGCUUCCAGGUGUGGAUGCUGAGCUAUGACGCCACAACACCAAGAUCGUUCUUCCUGGCACUGGUUGGAAUUCGCAAUCCAAGUAAGCUCUGGGACCUCACAAAACCGGUCGUUCUGUGGAAGGCCCGUCAGACGAGGCUUGUAGGAGAGAAUGCCACUCUAGCAUUCACCACCGAUGGAGAGCUCAAGCUUGAAGAAGAUGGCGACGUUGUCUGGUCCUCCAACACCACAAACAAAGGCGUCCGGUGGCUUGCCAUAUCCGACAGCGCGACCAUAAUGCUCCUGGAUGAAAGUGAAAGCAAUGUCAUCUGGCAAAGUAGCGACGAACCUUCUGACACUGUGCUGUUGCAACGAGCGCUUAAGCCGGGAUAUAAGCUCGUAAGUUGGAAUACUUCAGAAGACAGCAGCGACGGCCUGUAUAGCCUUGUCAUGGAGAAGAACAGGCUCAAACUGCUAUACGACUCGCAACCAUACUGGAGCUUCGGUAAUAUUACAAGAGAGGAAGAUAUGUUUGCGGUCUUCUGCUGGCAGCCAAAUGGAGUCGUGUCCCUGGAUCUCCGAACUAAUUUCUCACAGAUAGAAGGUGCGGGCUUGGUACAGCCGGAGUCUUGUGCCAUACCUGGUUCUGAAGACCAAGCGAUGCAG
This 3592-nucleotide long non-coding RNA is filed under the name Selaginella moellendorffii. RNAcentral describes it as "long non-coding RNA (SMOE_LNC002448)". The record is from RNAcentral. Lineage: Eukaryota; Viridiplantae; Streptophyta; Lycopodiopsida; Selaginellales; Selaginellaceae.